Macaca mulatta (Rhesus monkey) is the source of this 5357-nucleotide non-coding RNA. NCBI's taxonomy places the organism in Eukaryota, Metazoa, Chordata, Mammalia, Primates, Cercopithecidae. The record is from RefSeq and is a predicted model, not a curated record.
UAUAUUGACAAAAAAUAAAAAAAAAAGUAAAGCAAUACUGAAUGUAUAAAAGAAAAAUUAAACACUUGAAAGCAAAGGAGAAAAUGCUGGUGAAAAAUUGGAUUGCAGAUCUAUCCACAUUCUUGGGAAUUAAAUGUCACUGUCAGAUGCAUAUUAGAUAACACUGUAUGAAAUAAUAAGGGCUCUGAGACUCACAGAGAGUAAACUCACAUACCUCAACUAGUAAGGGCUUGACUACAGUGUCCUUCUGCACAAGUGGUGGGACAUCAGUCAACUCAUUGUUACACGCUUCCUGAGAAUGCAUGGCUUCUGCGGUAGCUGUGAAAUUCACCUUUCCUGGGGAACAAAGUUCUUAAGAGUUAAAUGGUGAUUUUAUAUUGAACGGUUUCUUCUUUUUCAGUUUCCCCAGUGUAUCUAGUGGUUGUCUUCCUCUUGAUUAGUAUUAAAGGAGGAGAAAAAGUAUGUAUUGGGGUCAGUGCAGAAAAAAAAUCAUCUGAGCACACGAGGUGGAAUUUGCUAAUAGCGUUACUACUCACCCAGUGACUUUGGAGUCACAGUCCAGGACACGGUUUUCCGCCCAUUUCUACAGACACAGUGAGAUUCUUCAUUCUUCUCUGUUGGGACAGCCAGGAAAGCGGAAGAGACUUCCAGCUGCACAAUGACCUGUCCCCCCACACCCAAGCACAAGUUUAUGAAGGGACGCAGAACAGGAUGCAUACUGGGGAAGAUGCUGUGUGCAUCAGAGUGUGAAGAGGAUACUGACCCACCCAAAAGAGACCCCACAGAGAGAACGAAUAAGAUGUGCUGAAAGCCGGAGCAUAACUUGGCCAUUCCGAGAUUUAACAACCAACUAACUACCCAUCAUUAACAGUAAAGCAGAAAGAAAACAAUCAGUAAGAGAUUAUAUAGACCUAAGAGAUGUUACAGACCUAAGAAGAACCUAUGCUCCCUUAUUUCAAGGAGCAGUACUGACCGUGAAGGAACUGCAGUAGAAAUAGUUCCUCUUCGUCACCAGGUCUGUGAAGAGGGGACUGUUCUGCAUUUCGUACCUCAGAGUUACUUUCAGUGCCACCGUCUCAUUCAGGUGAUUAAGGAUGACACAGGCCUUUUCAGGAACUCCAGUGUAGAGGUGCGAUGGGACCAGCACUAGGUACUGCCUGUGGAGGGGAGAAGUCCAGAUUAACUAUGGAAGGGUCAAAAAGACAUCAUUAUUAUGGGCAUUUUCUAAGUAAUUUUUGCUUUUGUCACCAAUCAUAGAACAGAGACAGAUUUCAGCAGGAGUGUAUUCUCCAAAGGCUAACCCAAAAGAUCUGAGGAACUGAGAAAACCUCAAAUUAAACCCCAGAUAUGCUUCUCUUCUGUUGUGGAAAUACUCACCCACAUAAUAUUAGAAAACCUGUCAAUAGCCAUGGGUAAGCAAUCCAUGAGUUGUUAUGUAUUUUGGAUAAAAAUUUCAAAAUUUCAAAAUGUGAAUCAACCAACAAAUCAUCAUUGAAAGCAUUAAGGACCUCUCUGCAUGUGGUCUUGGGUUUUGCAUGAAUGUUACUACAAAUCUCUUUGUUCCAGAAAACUAGGAAAGAUAUAACAUUUAAUACCUGGGGAGAAACUGAAUUGCUUUGCACUACGACCAUGGGAGCAAAAAUAUUUUUUCUUUCUUUAGCUCUUUGGUGAUGGAGACAAGGCAAACUGAGCUAGGCUAAUCACCAGACAUACUGCCAUAGACACCCGGAAGAAAAUACCACUCUCCUCUCACCAAUUGCCUCUCACAGUCACCCAGGCACACUACAUCUGGGGAUGCUGUACGUGUGCACACUCUUCUCUCUCUUCCUGAGUGUCCCUGUCUACCUGGAAACUUCUGUUUGCUUCAUAAGACUUAUCUCAAAAGUGACUUUCUCGGUGCAGAAUUUGGUGAAUCCCUCUCUCUUCCAUCAGGCCUCAUGAAGAGGGAGCUUUCUUUGGAAGUAUUCUGACAGAAUCCUGCAAUGCCUGCUUCGGUUUUUCUUCUAUAGUUCAUUCUCUGUGCACCAUCUCUCUACUUUUCCAUACUGUGAGAUGUUGAGGGCAGCGUCUGAAUUUUGUUAAUCUGUAGAUUCCCAAGACCUAAUGCCAGCUCCUAAAGGUGUGCCAAAGGAUUGAGUGAACUGACACACAAAUCCUGGCUUGUCUGUUGAGCAUACGUUCAUCCUGGCAAUCCCUGACUUGAGGAAAACACAGGUACUGAGUCAUUUCACAAUGGUCACGACGUGCAAUCCAUUUUAUGAAUCAAUAAAAAACGUAUCCCUUUUUGGGUAGGAAUUCUCUAUUCUUUUUUGGUAAAUGUUUCAUAGAUGUCGCUGCCUUAUGUCUGUGAGCUUCCGGAAAUUGGAGGAUGUCUCUUUUCAUGUGAGUAGUAAUGACUUGCUGAUCCUUCCUGGUCCCUUUGACAGCAGAAAAUGGUGUAGGGAAUUAGGAAACACAGAUCAAAGAGAUAAUACAAUGGGAAAAAAGGAGGACAAUAUAAGUUUCUGGAAAUAGUGCUUACGGUUCUGCAGCAGCUGAAGCAUCACUGGGAAGGAGGAGGAAAAGCAGGAUCAAGACUGGCUGGGGCAGUUGAUUUCUCAUUACGGUGCAGAAAGGAGGAGGGCAGAAUGGGAGUCUGAGCCCUCGAUUCUUUUAACCCUGUUCUUGCUCCGGCUCACUGGUUUUUAUUUCAUCUGAUGGGCAGUGAAAGUAAACUGCCAAUCAUUUAUUUUUGUAACAUAUUAACUACUUCCAGCAUAAAAAAAUCAAUUCCAGAUAAUUUUCAUGACUAUUGGUAUUAUUUUAUCCACUUUCCCAAAUUUUCUAAAUUCCUGAAAAAUAGUAGUUUGAGGCUACCACUAGCUCAGGUCAUUAAUCAGUUUUAAAACUAUUUUCAUGAAAAUACAAAAUAAAUUACAUGUUUUGAUGAAAUAAACCAAUAUUCUUGCAUUUUUUAAAAGAGGUAUUAAUGUAAAUCCAUAUCCCAAAUAUGUUUUGGUAAUCUAGGGAGCAUGACAUAUAUUCUUCACCCAAGAUUCAUCCUAACUGGCUCUUCACUGAAACACGGAAAAGAAAUCUGUCACAGAAUUUUAAAUAAAAUAAGUUUGGGAGCAACCUCUCCAUUGCUUGAAAGAUUCACUUUUGAUUUGUACAGGCAUCCUUAUGUUUAUUAUUUUAAAAAGAGCUGUUCAUUGGGUAUAACAACGUAUGUAAUAUAUAAUUACUAUUUCUUAGUUCAUUCAACAUCUAGAAUAUAAACCCAAUUAACUUACGUUGUUCUCUAAGAAAAUGAUCUCUCUUUGAUGAACAUUCUUAUUUAAUUUUAUCCUGAGGGAUAGAAAAUAUUUUAUCAACAGUGAUGCAUCAUCCUGUUUGCUUUCCAAGGGGGAUUCAGAUGUUAGAAUUUAUUUUUAUGGAACACUGAAAAGAAGAAAGGUCCCAUUGUUAAAUUAAUAAAACUAGGGCCUUAUAAAAUUGAAGUUUGCACAUUUUGAAUAAAGAACUGAUUUCAACUAUAAAAUAAGAUGUGAAGAGAAAUAGGCACUUCUGAGAACGGGGAAUAUUUUAUUGUGUUCCCUUCUAAAUUGGGGCUAGGCAGAUCUUGACGUACCCUUUUCUAUACGACCUGGAAGAGUGAUGGAGAAGUAAAGAUGAUGUAUGUGACAACCGGUGGUGAACUGCAAAACUGUAGAUAUGUAAGCUAUUAAAAUUCCAAUGAUGAUAAACUAUGGCUAAAAAAAUGCCAAGUCAAAUAGAAUAAACUGUAGUAUAAUACAUUGUGUUAGCCCUUGGUAGUUGACAAAUACUUGCUUGGGUGAUUGUAAAACUCUUCUGCUUUAUUUUGGCUCCAUUUGUAUGCUCUCUUACUUCCACUCAUCUUCCCAGCUCUUCCCAACUCCCACCCUCACCCCUAAAUUACCAUAAAUGUGCUUAUUGUCUAUCAGCUUAAUAUGGGAUAAAUUAACCUACAGUAAGCAGUAAAUGACUUUUAAGAGGUCUCUAUAUUACUUUUUCCAGGCAUGACUAUCCUUUUUAGGUGUGCACCAAACCUGUAUUUGACCAAAUGCUGAAUGACUAAACAUAAAAUCCUUUUUCGUAAGCAUGAAGCAAAAAUUGUCAUCACAGUUCGAACUUCUGGAAUAGAAGAAUAAAUCUCAAGAAUUAUCAGAAUUUUAUCAUUUUAAUUUUUAAUUAAAAAUUUUAGUGGAUGCAUUUGAAAUAUUUGACAUUAUAGGGUAAACACAAUACUUUCUCAGCACUGUCAGCUAAGGCUUCUAUACUUUUGGGAUCUUCAAACAUUUUCCUUGUAUUCCUUAAAAGAAUUUUAUUAAACAUGUAAUACCUCACAUAUACCUGACAUCUAAAAUUUUCACCAUUAUCAAGAUGGUAAGUGUAGUAUAAUACUGAUAUUUAAAAAAUAAAAUGUAAUACCACUUUUUAAAUGUAUCCGAUGAAAUGUAGACACUGCAGUGAUUUUUUUGCCCACCACCAUUCCUGUAAAACACACUUGAACACUUUUUUCCCCAGCAGGAAACUUUAUAUCGCUCUUGUUUCUUUUUAGUCUUGUAUUUUCAUCCUACUUCCUCAGGUAAUUUUAUCCUGGAGUUACAUACUUCAAUACAUUUUAUUGAUCGCCCUAUUAUAUGUUUCUGCAACUAAAGAUCAUCAAAGAUUAUUAUAAAAAAUAUUCUUGAGCCUGUAAAGUUCUAAUUAGUAAUAAAUGUUUUCUAGAUUGCAUUAUCAUUAAAAUUAUUAUCAAUACGCUAUUUAUAAAAUUAUAUAUAUAUAUCGACUACAACCUUAAUAGAUACUAAAAAUGAGAACAUUUUGUUCAAAAAUAAUUUUUUAGUGAAAUAAAUCAUGUAUUCCAGCUGGCUCCCUCAAAUAAGAUUGUGUAUUCUUGGAUGAAUAUUGCUUAUUGCUGGAUUAAAACAGGUUUCAUCUAUUCUCUAUUUUUUCUACUCUGCUCUAUUUCAAUUCUAGAAUAUUGCUAUUCUGUUUUCUAUUGUAUAGAUGUAAGCACUAAGAAAACCUGUUCACGUAAAGAGAGAAAUAGAAAUAUGGGACAUUCUAUUAUAACAAUAUUAUCUAAAUAUUUAGGCUUCCAUGUUAUAAGCCAAAGGUCACAUUAUAAUCAUUAAAAAUUACUUUCAGUUAUCUAUCAGCUGAUAAAUCCUCUGUAACUUUAUUGAAAGCAAAGUGCUAAACCAGGUCAAUUGCAACAGGAUUUGGAAAUCAGCCAUUAUGAUCAUUCUUAUUCUCGGUUCCUAGAAAGUAUUCAAUAAAGGCUUAAAAGGACUUAUAAAUGGCCACCAAUCAUUACUUUCUUACUUAAAAACACAGCUUUUACCAAAUAU